UGGUGGGCGUGGGAGAGCAGGCUGCGGCCGGCGAUCUCGCGGAGGCACGCACGGGUGCGGCCACCGCCGGCGGACGCAAAGGAGGAGGCGCGCCUGGCCUAGGUCGGGUGGGAGGAGGUUGCGUGGCAGCGGGCGGCGGACCAAGAUCCGGAUCUCCUGCUCUCUCUCCUCCUGGUCUUCAACGACACACGACAGAUGGGGAGGAUGGCCGGGAGGUGGUGACCUGCUUCCCAAGAAUCCAUGAAGAAGCUGGAGCUUGUGGCACCCUUUUGCUACAGGCCUAGGAACCAAUGGAAGAAGGAAUGGAGGAGAACAGCAGAUGAAGAUGAGUACCAGGACGAUUGGACAAGAGCAACAUCAAUACACAUGUUGCUGGCAGGAGAGUGAUGCAAAUAUCUGCUGGAUUCAUGAUUUCUUCUCUGUCCUAGAGUUCGUGAGUUGGAAAGGAGAUGCUACUAGGCUGCCUGGAAGAUGUAUUCAAAGCUGAAACGCUCUUCACACUGUCUAGGAUGGCGUCCAAGUCAAUUGUUUUCUUUGGUGACCAGGGUAAAAAAAAUGUUCAUGUUUAACUAGGCACGGUUACAGAUGCCAAUAAGCCUGCUGCUAUUGUUUUACAAUUGGAAUUGAUCAACUGGUUUGGUGAUGCUGAGUGCAGAGCUGCAAUUCAUCUUCUUUUCCUCUAGACCGUGCUGAUGCAAAAGAGUUCUCUAUAGCUGUCAUUCUACUUCUAAAGACCGCUAGGAUACCAGGCCAUACGAGACA
Long non-coding RNA from Lolium perenne, 762 nucleotides. RefSeq lists it as uncharacterized. NCBI's taxonomy places the organism in Eukaryota, Viridiplantae, Streptophyta, Magnoliopsida, Poales, Poaceae. The record is from RefSeq and is a predicted model, not a curated record.